Molecule: ribosomal RNA, 254 nt
Filed under: uncultured bacterium
Lineage: Bacteria
Description: partial 16S ribosomal RNA
Rfam family: Bacterial small subunit ribosomal RNA
Source: RNAcentral
UACGGGGGGAGCAAGCGUUGUUCGGAUUUACUGGGCGUAAAGGGCGCGUAGGCGGCUUUGACAAGUCAGUUGUGAAAUCUCCGGGCUUAACCCGGAACGGUCAACUGAUACUGUCGAGCUAGAGUGCAGAAGGGGCAACUGGAAUUCUCGGUGUAGCGGUGAAAUGCGUAGAUAUCGAGAGGAACACCUGCGGCGAAGGCGGGUUGCUGGGCUGACACUGACGCUGAGGCGCGAAAGCUAGGGGAGCGAACGGG